CAUUCCCUUAACCUCUCUGGUCCAAGUCUAAGGCCCAUUCAAGCCCUAAAGCAGAAGACUAUAAAUUAUUCAGGGGGCGGGGCAGGUUGGAAAGUAGGAGGAGCUAUUUGCACGCCCUACUUUUUACGGGAUGCUGCGGUUUGGGCCGGCUUGGGUAGUUGCCAUGACUUCGAUUCCGUGGCCGCUGGGCGUCCUUGGCAGCCUUUCCGUCAUUGGCCCCGGAACACGUGGCUUGGGGAGAUUUGCGCCCCGAUUGGUCGCGGCUCCAAGGGGGAGGAAGCCGCGGGACGUGUCCGUGGCUGUGUGCUAGACACCCUCGACGGGUGGUACGCACUAAGUAGCCCUUUGAUGGCUUCAAAAGAUCUGCCCUUCAGCCCUGUGUUGCAGACUGUGCUCCUGUGCCUCCAGCCACCUCUCGCUGGCCUCUGCCUAUGACCUCUGUGUCUCCCAAAGGGGUAGACCCCGUCUUCUGGGGAAGAGACACAGCAGAUGAAUCCAGACCAAGUGACCAGUCAGGAGUUUGGCUUUCUCUGGGAGAAAAAGAUUCUACCUCUGGUGUGACUGAGCCAGAAGAUUUAGUCAAAAGAAGUUCAGCAUCCCUGGAUACCAUACCCUGAUUGGGAAUGGUAGCUUUCCUUUUUCCUGGUGGUUCUGAGUUAUUUGUUAGAUUCCAAAUCCUCUGCUUCCUCAUCUCCUGCCUGUGACUUUUUCCUCAGAUCUCUGACCUUAUUGAAGCUUUAUACCCUACCUUGAGCCAGAAAUUCUGAGUAGCAUAGAUCCAAGUUGGGAAGAGUUCUGCUUGUGUUGUCUUAUUCAUUCUUUGUCUCUGUGUUUACCUCACAAGCUGGAGCUGGGUCUGAUUUCCUGCUCCAAGUGUCACAGAACUGACAGACAUUCAGACAAAUGUGAAAUCACCCUCAGAGUUCCUGGCUCUAGAAACAAAACAGAGUUGGAAGAGUUUGCAUAAUCUGGAGAGGGAGUUUACUAAUUUACCCAGAAGCUGGGUGAAGAGGUGAGACUGGGAAUGGAGGAGUGAGGUCAAAGGUCAGACCCACUGAAAACUGGGAAAAGAAAAGCAUGUUGUAAGAAGAAUUUGAAGGAAUCAGUCUAUUCAUUUCUGAAUCUCCCUAGACCAGGCAAGUGUUGAUGAAAUAAAUCAGCUAUCUAUAAACUGGAUAAUUAGAUC
This 1186-nucleotide long non-coding RNA is filed under the name Monodelphis domestica (gray short-tailed opossum). RNAcentral describes it as "lncRNA (ENSMODG00000050950.1)". Lineage: Eukaryota; Metazoa; Chordata; Mammalia; Didelphimorphia; Didelphidae. The record is from RNAcentral.